Molecule: unclassified non-coding RNA, 336 nt
Filed under: soil metagenome
Description: partial contains 5.8S ribosomal RNA, internal transcribed spacer 2, and large subunit ribosomal RNA
Rfam family: 5.8S ribosomal RNA (bases 1-120)
Source: RNAcentral
GAUGAAGAACGUAGCGAAAUGCGAUAAGUAAUGUGAAUUGCAGAAUUCAGUGAAUCAUCGAAUCUUUGAACGCACAUUGCGCCCGCCAGUAUUCUGGCGGGCAUGCCUGUUCGAGCGUCAUUUCAACCAUCUAGCCCCCGGCUUGUGUUGGGGACCUGCGGCUGCCGCAGGCCCUGAAAAGCAGUGGCGGGCUCGCUGUCACACCGAGCGUAGUAGCAUACAUCUCGCUCUGGGCGUGCUGCGGGUUCCGGCCGUUAAACCACCUUCAUGACCCAAGGUUGACCUCGGAUCAGGUAGGAAGACCCGCUGAACUUAAGCAUAUCAAUAAGCGGAGGA